AGUGAACGCUGGCGGUAGGCCUAACACAUGCGAGCCGAACGGCAGCACAGGAGAGCUUGCUCUCUAGGUGGCGAGUGGCGGAAGGGUGAGGAAUACAUCGGAAUCUGCCCAGUCGUGGGGGAUAACGUAGGGAAACUUACGCUAAUACCGCAUACGACCUUCGGGUGAAAGAGGGGGAUCGCAAGACCUCUCGCGAUUGGAUGAGCCGAUGUCGGAUUAGCUAGUUAGCGGGGUAAUGGCCCACCAAGGCGGCGAUCCGUAGCUGGUCUGAGAGGAUGAUCAGCCACACUGGAACUGAGACACGGUCCAGACUCCUAAGGGAGGCAGCAGUGGGGAAUAUUGGGCAAUGGGCGCAAGCCUGAUCCAGCCAUACCGCGUGGGUGAAGAAGGCCUUCGGGUUGUAAAGCCCUUUUGUUGGGAAAGAAAUCUUUCAGGCUAAUACCCUGGGAGGAUGACGGUACCCAAAGAAUAAGCACCGGCUAACUUCGUG
This 490-nucleotide ribosomal RNA is filed under the name uncultured bacterium. RNAcentral's name for it is "partial 16S ribosomal RNA". It matches the Rfam family "Bacterial small subunit ribosomal RNA", at positions 29 to 507 of the family's 1533-position model. The record is from RNAcentral.